AUCUAGAUGACGAGUCUCAAAUACAACGAAACACAUGUCCUAGAU
RNAcentral lists this non-coding RNA (45 nucleotides) under Schistosoma margrebowiei. The record is from RNAcentral. Lineage: Eukaryota; Metazoa; Platyhelminthes; Trematoda; Strigeidida; Schistosomatidae.